This 229-nucleotide long non-coding RNA is filed under the name Musa acuminata (dwarf banana). RNAcentral describes it as "long non-coding RNA (MACU_LNC011757)". Lineage: Eukaryota; Viridiplantae; Streptophyta; Magnoliopsida; Zingiberales; Musaceae. The record is from RNAcentral.
UGAAUUCUGCCAAAUAGAGAUUUUGUUCUCCGACCCUUGUUUACCAAAUUAUUUGUAACUCUCUGUUGGAUAGUUCAAUUCAUAUGAAGCUUAUUUUAUCAGAAACUAGAUUGAAAUAUCUUUCCAAUGAUAUAUUUUCUGAGUAAAAUUGGAGCACGAUUGAUAGUUUGAAUCAUUUAUUCAAUGUGCCUCUUGAAUUCUGCCAGAAAUUGAGCUUUGGUCGAUUUCG